GUGUUCACUUAGCACAUAAACUAAAACUGGAAUACUAUAGAAAAGAUUAGCAUGGUCCCUGCACAAGGAUGACAUGCAAAUUCGUGAAGCAUUCCAUAUUUUU
Molecule: small nuclear RNA, 103 nt
Organism: Nannospalax galili (Upper Galilee mountains blind mole rat)
Lineage: Eukaryota; Metazoa; Chordata; Mammalia; Rodentia; Spalacidae
Source: Ensembl